Molecule: non-coding RNA, 240 nt
Organism: Macaca mulatta (Rhesus monkey)
Lineage: Eukaryota; Metazoa; Chordata; Mammalia; Primates; Cercopithecidae
Source: RefSeq, a predicted model, not a curated record
ACACAGGGAGGUGAACAUCACACACCGGGGCCUGUCGGGGAUGGGGGCAAGCAAAAGUCCCAGAGAGAGAGUUAGCCUGUGUGCCCACUUCAGGAGUCCCAGCAUGUCCAGCUGGAGUCCCCAUGGGGUCUAGCUGCAUGUCGUCUUGGGAGAGGGAACCCCAGCACUGGGAGGACCAUGAAAAGACACUGGCUGAUUGCUGUUGGAAUAGAAGAGCCAUUAAAGAAAAUGAACUGAGAA